Molecule: ribosomal RNA, 508 nt
Filed under: Aspergillus sp. 28b
Lineage: Eukaryota; Fungi; Ascomycota; Eurotiomycetes; Eurotiales; Aspergillaceae
Description: partial 18S ribosomal RNA
Rfam family: 5.8S ribosomal RNA (bases 178-331)
Source: RNAcentral
UGACCUGCGGAAGGAUCAUUACUGAGUGCGGGCUGCCUCCGGGCGCCCAACCUCCCACCCGUGACUACCUAACACUGUUGCUUCGGCGGGGAGCCCUCUCGGGGGCGAGCCGCCGGGGACUACUGAACUUCAUGCCUGAGAGUGAUGCAGUCUGAGUCUGAAUAUAAAAUCAGUCAAAACUUUCAACAAUGGAUCUCUUGGUUCCGGCAUCGAUGAAGAACGCAGCGAACUGCGAUAAGUAAUGUGAAUUGCAGAAUUCAGUGAAUCAUCGAGUCUUUGAACGCACAUUGCGCCCCCUGGCAUUCCGGGGGGCAUGCCUGUCCGAGCGUCAUUGCUGCCCAUCAAGCCCGGCUUGUGUGUUGGGUCGUCGUCCCCCCCGGGGGACGGGCCCGAAAGGCAGCGGCGGCACCGUGUCCGGUCCUCGAGCGUAUGGGGCUUUGUCACCCGCUCGAUUUAGGGCCGGCCGGGCGCCAGCCGACGUCCAACCAUUUUUCUUCAGGUUGACCUC